This is a long non-coding RNA of Myotis myotis, 3113 nucleotides long. RefSeq lists it as uncharacterized. The record is from RefSeq and is a predicted model, not a curated record. The transcript is spliced from 5 exons. Lineage: Eukaryota; Metazoa; Chordata; Mammalia; Chiroptera; Vespertilionidae.
UCUCACAGUGACACUCUACGAGGAAAUCCGGAGACUGUGGUGUAACCCAGGUGUGCAAUCGGGCACUUCACACCUCUUGAGGGCACAGGGUUUUGACUCAACUUAAAUCAUUCCUACAGUGAGUCAGUCAGCGUGUCACGGAACUACAGCACAUCUGUGGUGAAAUAGGUGAGGCAGGGGACGGACACUGCACGUGGUAGGCAUUUAACGAACCUGAGACCCCUUUUCCUUUCCCUUUCCCCCUACUCUGCCCACUGCCGCUGUGGAUGCUGGGAUUUCCCUUUCAGCCAGCAUGGUCCCUUCCAAGGGGCCUUUCCUUUGUAAGGCAUCUUACUGAUCACCUUUUGACUCUUCUUCCUCCUGUCUUCCUACUUUCAGAAGGCCCUCUGCACCCCAACCUUCACAAGGUGCCCUCAGACCAGCAUGGAACUGCUCUAUUCCCUCGUCCAUACAAUGGGGAUAAUGUUAGCACCCACCUCAAAAGUUUGUUGGAUGCUUUUAAUGAAAUAGUACAAAUAAGAUACGAAGCCCAACAUAGAGUAAGCACUCAAUAAGUGCUUGUCUUUCUUGUUGUUAUCACUGGAGCGAUUCCACCGAGGUGCUGCCUGGGAGCUGCCCACACCUCCUCCAGAAGGGAAUUGCAAGAUGCCCAGGCUUCUCCCAUCCUUGAGCAAUGCAAGGAUUUGUAUAAGAAAUUUUUAUUAGAAUGAACCAUGUGAUGAUCCAUGACAUUAGAAAGAAGUUCAACUUUAUAGACAAGAAAUUUCAUUUACAAAAUCAGCAAAGAUGAAUAAAAAUAAGUUGCAGUAAACAGACUUUUUCAGACCAGUGGAGGGAAGUUAGGAGGAAGUGGCACAACCGGGAGAAAGAACGCCCACAGAGGUCACACUGGAGCAGGAGCCCAGAUCUUGUCUGGUUGUCCCCAACAAGAAAACUGACAUAGCAACCGGACAGACCUGUGAUGCCUCGGAGGGAGAGGAGCCCUCGGGAGCGGUGCAGCACAGAGCUUGCUGCCUCAGCUGCCUCUCAGCCUGCCAGCUCGAGAGGUGUCCUUGCAAGACUGCAUGUGGCCGUGGAAUAGUGGCUCUCCCACUCAGGGGACAUAAAUGCAUGGGUUUGGGAAUAUGGAAAACUUUCGGGGGGAGAGCGGAAGAAGAUGAGCAUUUGUUGAGAACUUCCCACAUGCUAGGUGCUACGUAUACUGUUUGACAUACAGUAUUCGCAAUUUUGCAUCAAAUCUGUGUUGUGACUAUCGUUACUUCCAUGUUACACCGAAGGACACGGGCUCAGAGGCGCAGCCAGGGCUGCUGCAAGUGCGACGUGUGCAUUGCUCCAAGAGGUGCUCUUUGCUUUGUGGUUAUAGUGGCCAGAGGUGGGGCCAGUAAGUCCCUUUCCCAGGCCACACAGCAAGAGAAGGCAGAGCUGGGAUUGGAGGCCAUGCUCUUUCUGCUGCACCAAUCUUUGGAGACCCCACAGCAACUGAACUACUUUCCCCCCUCUCCUUAGAGAAAGUUCCAUUUGUGUAUUCUGAAAUCAAAUGCAGGUGCAUGGAGUUUUAUCCAAAAUGACAGUGACCUCUCAGAAGGAAAAGUGAGAAUCUGCUACGUGUGACACCCGCUGCUGUCCCAGGUGUCGGGCUAUUAUCAGUGAGACACAGAGUCCACGGAAGUCUGGCCUGGACUGUGACCCGAACCAGGUGGCUUUGGUUGGGAUGACGUCAAUCUGAAGACUGAGUUCAACGCUCAGUUAGAGAUGUCCUACCCACAGAAGUUUGGUUUCAGGUUUGGCAUGGGACCUACCGAGCAUCUCAAUUUUUAAAAGCUCCCUGGUGAUGCUAAUGACAGCCAGGGCCGAGAAGCCCUCAGCAAUCAGCCCUUCCUCCUGGGGAGGGAGGGGAAGCCGGAGGAGGCAGGUGGCUCGCUCAGCACCCAGCUGGUUAGUGUGGCUACUGAGAGCGUGAUUCCCAUUGGAUCCUCUGUUGUGCCUCAGAGGGGCAGGAAAAGGUGAAGCAGGGGAAGGAGAAAGAGGUGGAUAACUGUUGGAAGAGAGAGAGAUGCCAUGCGUGUCUCUUAGGGUAGGUGGUGGGGGCAGUGAGGAGGCAGCUAGUUGUUCCCUGGGCCUGCUCAGCACGCGCUUACCCACCACGCCACAGUGAGCUGAUCCCUGGAGGAUAUCACUGUUGUGAGCAGAAACCAGAUAUGACUCAGGCCAGGAAAUUGCCUGCUCCUGUUACUAGUGCGGGUGAGAGGCAAAGCUGUUGUAAGACAAACACCUAAGAAUACAGCGGCUUAAAGAACCUCAUGGCGGGCGGGGCCCGGAAGGAGGUUUGUUUCUCUCAUUCAGCAGUGUGGUGAGUAGCUGAGCUCAUUUGUCCACAAGGGCAAGCGGGUCCCAGCACCGCCCCGGCAUCAAACCGCCGACUAAGUGGGGCCCGGAAAGAAUAUGCGGGCACUUAGGUGACAGAGGCCACUUCUGCUCAUUUCCCAGCGAUGAAAACGGAGUCCCCUGGAAGCAAGGGGCACUGAGGAAUGAGGCCCUUCCUGGCAGCCAGUGCCCAGCCACAGCUGUUCCUCUCGAAGGAGAAGACAGAUUUUGGAAGCCCUCAAAGGAACUUGCUCCUGGUGCCUCUCCACCCAUUCUUCCAGUCAAGAAGCAUUUUGAGCACCGCCUGGAGUUGGCCAGGCCUGGGAGUGGGCACAGAGCAGGGUGCUUUAGGACAGGGAACACUCCCCAGAGGCUGUUUGGACUGAGUUGUGAAGAUGAAUAGGCAUGCGAAGAAGGGAAUGCCAGGCAGGAGACAGCUAGCUGUGCAAAGGUUGGGAGGUGGAUGGGAUGAGGGAAGGGUUGAAUGUGACAAAGUGCCUGGUGGUGGCCAGAGAGAACGGUGGGGCCAGACCGUGCAGACUCUCUCAUGAAGCUAGAACAUCUGCAUGUGAAAGGAAACUUUGGGGGGAUUGACCCCGAAAUUUUAACCUUCAUUGAAAAGAAAGUUACAUCUCCUAGGACAAUGCAAACGAAGGAGAAAAUAAACAAAUGGGACUAUAUCAAAAUAAAAAAGCUUCUGCACAGCAACAAAACAAAACAAAAACAAACAACAACAAAAAACCCAUCAA